This is a long non-coding RNA of Paramacrobiotus metropolitanus, 827 nucleotides long. RefSeq lists it as uncharacterized. NCBI's taxonomy places the organism in Eukaryota, Metazoa, Tardigrada, Eutardigrada, Parachela, Macrobiotidae. The record is from RefSeq and is a predicted model, not a curated record. The transcript is spliced from 2 exons.
UAAUAACCUGCUGCCUGUAAACAAGUUUUUUGCUAAUAUGAAACAUAAGGAAGAAUUAGUCGACACAUUUCCACACGACAAACGGAUAUAGUACCGAAGUAUAUAACAAAAAUUCGCUAUUUUCUUUUUUUAGCAGUUGCAUGCCUUUCCAUGAGGACAGCUUGAAUACGCAAAGAUCGAUUAAGUGACCAUAAGAGAUUUUUAUCACAAGUUUUAAACAGUGAGCUUUACUUAUUCAAAAAAGAUGAAGUUUACGACUUGCUUAUCUGUGCUGUUGUUCAUAGCACUCUUCGCCGCGAUUUCGGUGGAUGCCCGAUGGUGGCGUCAUCAUCGCCAUUGGUGGCCAGGAUCGUAUUAUGGCGGAUACUAUUCAUACCCUGUUUAUUCCUAUCCGGUCUCUGUGGGAUAUCCUUAUUACGGCGGUGGAUAUUAUUCGUCGUGGGGAUUCGGUCGCCGAUAACCACUACCGGUGACCUUUCGGGAUGAUGCCUCAUGGUAACCGUACGUGCUUCGCGCAUCCAGUGUACAUGAUAACCUCUCCCAUUCUCAAUGUCGAGGAUGAUUCCGUGCACCGUUUCGGUGACUUCCUAAGCAACUUCAGCCAAUUUCAAUCCGACGUCAUUUAACCACACAUCCCACUGUCUGUCAUUUGCUGUCAGCUGCAUGAUUUGAAAAUCAUGUAACUGACUUCCGCUUUGUGCAAUGUAAAUUGGUGUAAACAAAUGUUUGAGAAAUUUGCCAUUCCCGGUAACAAAUUGUCUCUACUCGUCCUUAAUUAUUUGUUAUUUGUUGCAACCACGCGCAUAAAGUGUGAAGUGACUUCAGAA